UUUUAUUUAAGUUAGACAUAGACCACGCUCCGGCAGGUUCAGUCGGGCACGGAGACGUAAAAGACAGGUACAAAAACCGAUUAAAAUCUUCAGGGGCGGUACUUACUUUUCUUUUGUACCUGUCUUAUCAGGUAAAGGUAGAACGAUCAAAACGUAUUUGUUCUGUGAUGCCUCCUAACUCUCUACCACUUUAACUUGUUUUAUUUAUUUAAUCCUCCACAGAUGAGUAUUAUUAUGAAUCGGUACGAUCAAACAGUAGAAAUAAACGUAGUGAACAAGUAGUACAUAAUAUAGAAAUAAUUCGUUGAAAAAAUACAAAUCUUGAGAAAUACCGACUUAGACCAAUCCGUGUAAAAGUCAAGUCAAAACGGCAUAUCAAUAGAAGACUACCGACGUACAUCGAAAAGUGGGAAGUCAUUCCUCAGGAAAUAAACAACAUCUAGGAACAGCGGGUACUCACUACCUGCGACAUACCAAUACGUCACGACGACCACACUUCCAAUAAUGGGAAAUACCAAAUAAAAAGAAACUAGUAUAGAAGAAAGGUAGAUAUAGAUGAAGUUUAUAAGAAAGGUACCUUAGAGUUGGCUAACCCAAACAUUAUCCUCCAAACCUAGUACGUCAAACGUCUAUAAGUCAAUAUUUUAUAAACACCAAGUAGUCAAGGAAAACACGUACAACAGUUCUUACACAGUAUACUCGGUUCUAAGUUUGCGAAGACCUACACUUAAACUGUUUUGCCUAGUAGAAUCCUACUCACAGGACUUCUUAGCCUUCUACGACGUUUUGUACUACUACACUAUGACGGUACGAUAAAGAUGACCAGAGAGACGAUCACGGAAUAGCGAGCAAGUGGUUAGAGGUAGGAGUGGUACCAGAGACAUGAGUUGUUCCCACUUGAGAUGUUCAAGAUCAUCCGAGGAGCCACUGAGGAGUGUCCUCUCGAAAACCGGACUAGACUACCUCGACUCUCCAGUUUCCUUCUUCAGUUUGGACUUCUUCACGUACCUCCUUUAAUGUCUACGCACACAGGCCGACCAAGUCCCCUACACGUCCCGCCGGCAUCGGUACGCCCACAGCUCCGUCCGCUAGAGCGCCUACCUACGGUACGACGCUCCCAUCCAAGGACCCGCGGGCGAUGCAACUACUGCCUAAGGUGCGACGCUCGCCGUUGUUAGCCGCUGUUAGCCGCUACCGCUAGCACGUCCCUCCGCUGCCACAACCACCCGCCGUAGACCACGCCACCACUGAGUUCCGUCUGUUUGCAGCUCCAGUUCCCGCUCCCUCGUCUAAACUAACUCAAAAGAAUCAAACGCUAAACUAACGCACUAACAUCCCUUUGUGCCCUCCCUCGUCUAAACCAACACAAAGGAAUCAAACGCUAGACUAACGCACUAACGUCCCUUUGUACCCUAACCAACAACCUUAUGAGGAGACCACCACCUCAUGCCAGUCAGUAAUCUUUAACGAUUCAUGUGUGGUAGGGCGAUAAUCUAUUUACUACCG
This 1506-nucleotide ribosomal RNA is filed under the name Triticum aestivum (bread wheat). RNAcentral's name for it is "partial small subunit ribosomal RNA". Lineage: Eukaryota; Viridiplantae; Streptophyta; Magnoliopsida; Poales; Poaceae. The record is from RNAcentral.